This 400-nucleotide ribosomal RNA is filed under the name uncultured bacterium. RNAcentral's name for it is "bacterial SSU rRNA". It matches the Rfam family "Bacterial small subunit ribosomal RNA", at positions 355 to 772 of the family's 1533-position model. The record is from RNAcentral.
UGGGGAAUAUUGCACAAUGGAGGGAACUCUGAUGCAGCGACGCCGCGUGAGUGAAGAAGUAAUUCGUUAUGUAAAGCUCUAUCAGCAGGGAAGAAAGUGACGGUACCUGAAAAAGAAGCUCCGGCUAAAUACGUGCCAGCAGCCGCGGUAAUACGUAUGGAGCAAGCGUUAUCCGGAUUUACUGGGUGUAAAGGGAGAGUAGGUGGCAGAGCAAGUCCGAAGUGAAAACCCAAAGCUCAACUAUGGGAAUGCUUUAGAAACUGCUCAGCUAGAGUGCAGGAGAGGCAAGUGGAAUUCUUAGUGUAGCGGUGAAAUGCGUAGAUAUUAGGAGGAACACCAGUGGCGAAGGCGGCUUGCUGGACUGUAACUGACACUGAGGCUCGAAAGCGUGGGGAGCAAA